CAAAGGGUCUCUGUCUAUUCUCCUGAAGAGUUUAUCAUUACGAGCCUUCCAAAUGUACCAUAUUAUCCAGGGAUAAGGAUCUCUGUCUUGGUCUGGUUCUAAGAUAUCAUUCUUCCUCCAGAAAAGAUAAUCCAUGUUUGUGUAGACACUUGACACUGGAAAUGUACCUGGGCAUGAAGGAGUUGUUGAUAAGGACCAUACUUGGAGAGCCGGAGGGCAUUCAAAUAUUGCGUGAGUUACAGAUUUUUCUAUUUCUCCACACCUUGGCCAAUAAUUAUCACACCUCAUAUUCCUCCUUACAAGAUUUCUCGUUACUGCC
RNAcentral lists this long non-coding RNA (319 nucleotides) under Brassica napus (rape). Its description in RNAcentral is "long non-coding RNA (BNAP_LNC005137)". The record is from RNAcentral. Lineage: Eukaryota; Viridiplantae; Streptophyta; Magnoliopsida; Brassicales; Brassicaceae.